This 389-nucleotide ribosomal RNA is filed under the name uncultured bacterium. Its description in RNAcentral is "partial 16S ribosomal RNA". It matches the Rfam family "Bacterial small subunit ribosomal RNA", at positions 338 to 724 of the family's 1533-position model. The record is from RNAcentral.
CCUACGGGUGGCAGCAGUGAGGAAUAUUGGUCAAUGGGCGCGAGCCUGAACCAGCCAAGUCGCGUGAGGGAUGAAGUUUCUAUGGAUCGUAAACCUCUUUUAUAAGGGAAUAAUGUGUGGGACGUGUCCUAUUUUGUAUGUCCCUUAUGAAUAAGGCUCGGCUAACUCCGUGCCAGCCGCCGCGGUAAUACGGAGGAUCCGAGCGUUAUCCGGAUUUUUUGGGUUUAAAGGGUGCGUAGGCGGGCUUUUAAGUCAGCGGUGAAAGUCUGUGGCUCAACCAUAGCAGUGCCGUUGAAACUGGGGGGCUUGAGUGUGUUUGAGGCAGGCGGAAUGCGUGGUGUAGCGGUGAAAUGCUUAGAUAUCACGAAGAACCCCGAUUGCGAAGGCAG